AAAGGAAUUUGAAACCUGUGUGAGGAAGAAAAAGAAUAGGGACGGGACAACUUGGUGGGGCUAGAGAAGCAGUUCUGUGAUCAACAGACGGCACGAACACUGGUUUGAAAAUACACUUCCAGAUCCCCCCCACCCCCCCAAAAAACUAUUUCAACAACUUUAUUGGAGACUGAAACGGUUGGAUCGACUUUUGCCGUUUUUCCGUCACUGUAGCUCAAACAAUGGACUAUCCGCAGUUUUUACGCUGAGAGAAAACUGUCUGCCUGUGAGUUUUUUUUUUUUUUUUUAAACUUCGGACUGGAGAUAAAACGUCAGUAGGCAGUAAGUAGUAAACAGUGGGAGUGAGCAGAAACAAUCCUAGGACGGUAUCGGUGUAACGUUUUGAAAUUGUUUUUCGCAACAUAAAAUGAGAAUCGGGGAAGGAGAGGAGUGAUAGCGAGUGGAAGAAAUACCUGUGGAUUUUAAAUCACGAGCAGUCGGAAGAACAUCCGCUAAACUUUUCAGUUGUACAACAACGAUUUUUUUUUUAACAGAGCCGGUGACAGUUACUGGAAUGCGCUGAUGCGGACUGGAGUCGCAUCCAACAAGUUAAAAGUUGGAACCGUGAAUUCUGCUAGAAGUGCGCUGCUCCAAGGGACAGCUAUGGAGAGCGGGUCACAGGGGCUGGCGCUGGGGAUACUGUUUUUCGUCGCGUUUUUUAGUUUAGGAUCUGCAAGUACUUUGCCAGAGCUGCAGUUCAUCCGUAGCCCCGGUAACGUGACAUCAUCGCUUGGGAAGCCGGUGAAGGUGGUGUGCACACUGCAGGGUUGGGGGGGCGAGGACCCCCCUGAUGUGCUCUGGCAGCGGGACGGACAGCCCCUGGAGUGGGCUGACACCAACCAAAUACAGGUUCCUGUUGCGUCACGCAGCUGGAUGGUCAUCAGCACACUCAGGAUAGAGAAGAUGCAGCUACCUGACAUGGGUUCCUACCGCUGUGCUGUGAUGUCAGAGGGACACCAAACUCUGUCUGUAGCAGGACACGUUCAUCUAGAAGGUCUUCCUCAUUUCUCUGUGGAGCCUCAGCACCAGUCGGUGGUAGCCAAUGUGUCUCUGAGUCUGCACUGUGUGGCCCACGGCCCCCCGGAGCCCGUCAGAGUCAUCUGGCUGCAGGACGGGGCCCCUCUAAACUCUCUGCAGGACCAUGUUGCCCUGUCCCCCUCUACAGUCAAUAUAACAGGUCUGAACAGAACCAGUACCUUCUCCUGUGAGGCACACAACCGUAAAGGAGUGGCUACAUCAGGUUCUGGGACCAUCACAGUCCUGCCAUCCCGGCCCCAGAGAGUCAGGGCUGUAGAAGUCACCAACUCUAGCCUGCUCCUCUCCUGGGAACCUAGCUUUGGAGGAGUCUAUCCUAUAACUCACUGCACCAUACAGGUCAAGCGUUCAGGCGAGGACGUCGGUGUCGGUGGGGUGGAUCACAUGAUCCACAACCAGAAUGUCAACAUCCCACCAGCCAGCCACCUGAUCGGGGAUCUGGAGCCGAAUAGUGGCUACGCAGUGAGGCUGGCCUGCUACACCACCCAGGGGGUGUCAGAUUGGACACACUGGGCCACACUACACACCGCAGAAGGAGUGCCAGACGGACCUCCGGGGAAUGUGAGUGGGGUGUUAAACGGGACAGAAGUGAUGGUCAGCUGGGAGGAGCCAGAUGGAAGGAUCAACGGAGAUCUGCAGGGAUACCUGGUGGAGUACAGCACCCCUAAUAUGGAGCAGGCUGUAGUGGAUACGGGCCUCUACACAGAGCUGUCCGUCAACCUGUCCGUCCCUCUGUCUAACGUGUCCUUCAGGGUGUGUGCCUACACCAAGGCGGGACAGGGGCCAUGGACCCCCCUACACACCCUCACCCUUAUCCCCCCUGCAAUGGGAGAGCUACAAUCCAGAGAUACCUCCUUCCAGCCGCUCUUCUCUUGGCACUGGUGGUAUGUUGUCAUGGCGAUAGCUGUUGCCGUGGCGCUAGCAGUCCUAAUGGCAGUGUACGUGGCCAAACUACGGCGGAAGGAGACACGCUUUGGGGAAGCGUUUGAGCCCAUGAUGGAGAGUGGAGAGCUGGUGGUGAGGUACAGAGCACGACGUACAUACAGCCGCAGGACCACUGAGGCCACAUUGAACACCCUGGGCAUCAGUGACGAGCUGAAACAUAAGCUGCAGGAUGUGAUGGUGGACAGACAUAAACUAACCCUGGGAAAGACUCUGGGAGAGGGAGAGUUUGGCUCCGUGAUGGAGGGAGCAUUAACGCACGAGGAGUCUGUUCUCAAAGUGGCCGUGAAGACCAUGAAGAUUGCUAUCUGUACUCGCACUGAGAUGGAAGACUUCCUGAGAGAAGCUGCUUGUAUGAAGGAGUUUGACCAUCAGAACGUCAUGAGACUGCUAGGUGUGUGUCUACAGACAGUAGAGAGUGAAGGUUACCCCUCCCCUGUGGUCAUCCUGCCCUAUAUGAAACACGGAGACCUACACAGCUACCUGCUCUACUCACGCCUGGGAGACUGCCCCGUGUACCUGCCGUCUCAGAUGCUGGUGAAGUUCAUGGUGGAUAUCGCCAAGGGGAUGGAGUAUCUCAGCAGAAACAACUUCAUCCACAGAGACCUGGCUGCAAGGAACUGCAUGCUGAAUGAGAACAUGAAUGUGUGUGUUGCUGACUUCGGCCUUUCUAAGAAGAUAUAUAACGGAGACUACUACCGCCAGGGUCGCAUCUCUAAGAUGCCCGUCAAAUGGAUCGCCAUCGAGAGCCUGGCGGACCGCGUCUACACCACCAAGAGUGACGUGUGGUCAUUUGGUGUGACUAUGUGGGAGAUAGCAUCGCGAGGCCAGACUCCGUACCCAGGUGUGGAGAACAGUGAGAUAUAUGACUACCUGAGACAAGGAAACCGUCUCAAACAACCUCCAGACUGUCUGGACAGCAUUUAUUCCCUGAUGUUCUCCUGCUGGUUCUUGAGUCCUAAGGACCGUCCUCUGUUUGAGACUCUACGCGGGGAGCUGCAGAAGGCUCUUGAGGACCUGCCGGACUCCCAGGACCCAGAUGAGAUCCUCUACGUCAACAUGGAGGAGUCGAUGGAGCUGGGGGCCGUGGGGGGACGCGACCCGGCCGGGGGCCUGAAGGGCUUGGACUCUGUGGCCACGGUGGAGGUGCACCACACUCAUCCUAGCCGCUAUGUCCUCUGUCCCCAACACGACACCAACCGCCUGCACUCUGACUCCCUGGAGAGUCUCAACCUGGUGUCCUCCUCCUCCGCCACGCUGCCCCUGGGGACGACCCUACAACCCUCCGGCUGCUCCACCCCGACAAGCACGGCAGAGGUACAGGAGGACAGGGGAGGGCCCAGGAGGGUACCCUGGUAGUGAUGAAGGGCUCUACGCUCACCACUGUCACAGAGUCAAUACAGACUGGUCAAUACCAUCAGAACUAUACAAUCCCUCCUGUUGGUAUUCACUGUCACAGUCUUGACAGACAGACUGGACAAUACCAUUUAAUCCCAAUCAAAUCAUUUAGCAAGCCUUUUUUUGCACCAACAUACUCCUACACACACCCAUACACACUCCUUUAGGCAUUCCACGUUGUGAUUGAAAUAGUGGGAUUGUCAAAAUGUAUAUAGCUACGUCCUCACAUCUCCUCCUUCUUAAGCAUACUUCGUAUCAUAAUGAGUCUACAGGCUAUUGGCCCUGAAACCCCUCAGACAGACCAGACAGUAAAGACUAGUUUCCCUCAGACAGUAAAGACUAGUUCCCCUCAGACAGACCAGACAGUAAAGACCAGUUCCCCUCAGACAGACCAGUCAGUAAAGACUAGUUCCCCUCAGACAGACCAGACAGUAAAGACUAGUUCCCCUCAGACAGACCAGACAUUAAAGACUAGUUCCCCUCAGACAGACCAGACAUUAAAGACUAGUUCCCCUCAGACAGACCAGACAGUAAAGACCAGUUCCCCACAGACAGACCAGACAGUAAAGACCAGUUCCCCUCAGACAGACCAGACAGUAAAGACUAGUUCCCCUCAGACAGUAAAGACUAGUUCCCCUCAGACAGACCAGACAGUAAAGACUAGUUCCCCUCAGACAGACCAGACAGUAAAGACAGUUCCCCUCAGACAGACCAGACAGUAAAGACUAGUUCCCCUCAGACAGACCAGACAGUAAAGACUAGUUCCCCUCAGACAGACCAGACAGUAAAGACUAGUUCCCCUCAGACAGUAAAGACUAGUUCCCCUCAGACAGACCAGACAGUAAAGACCAGUUCCCCACAGACAGACCAGACAGUAAAGACCAGUUCCCCUCAGACAGACCAGACAGUAAAGACUAGUUCCCCUCAGACAGUAAAGACUAGUUCCCCUCAGACAGACCAGCCAGUAAAGACUAGUUCCCCUCAGACAGACCAGACAGUAAAGACCAGUUCCCCUCAGACAGACCAGACAGUAAAGACUAGUUCCCCUCAGACAGACCAGACAGUAAAGACUAGUUCCCCUCAGACAGACCAGACAGUAAAGACUAGUUCCCCUCAGACAGUAAAGACUAGUUCCCCUCAGACAGACCAGACAGUAAAGACUAGUUCCCCUCAGACAGACCAGACAGUAAAGACUAGUUCCCCUCAGACAGACCAGACAGUAAAGACUAGUUCCCCUCAGACAGACCAGACAGUAAAGACUAGUUCCCCUCAGACAGACCAGCCAGUAAAGACCAGUUCCCCUCAGACAGACCAGACAGUAAAGACUAGUUCCCCUCAGACAGACCAGACAGUAAAGACUAGUUCCCCUCAGACAGACCAGACAGUAAAGACUAGUUCCCCUCAGACAGACCACCAUUAGCACACAUUAGGCAAGUCCUUGUCCACACAAACUGCAUGCAGGACAAUCAUCAGUACCAGCUAAGACCCUGCCAUAUAGUGAUCUACACAGUACCAGCUAAGACUCUGCCAUAUAGUGAUCUACACAGUACCAGCUAAGACUCUGCCAUAUAGUGAUCUACACAGUACCAGCUAAGACUCUGCCAUAUAGUGAUCUACACAGUACCAGCUAAGACCCUGCCAUAUAGUGAUCUACACAGUACCAGCUAAGACCCUGCCAUAUAGUGAUCUACACAGUACCAGCUAAGACCCUGCCAUAUAGUAAUCUACACAGUACCAGCUAAGACCCUGCCAUAUAGUGAUCUACACAGUACCAGCUAAGACCCUGCCAUAUAGUGAUCUACACAGUACCAGCUAAGACCCUGCCAUAUAGUGAUCUACACAGUACCAGCUAAGACCCUGCCAUAUAGUGAUCUACACAGUACCAGCUAAGACCCUGCCAUAUAGUGAUCUACACAGUACCAGCUAAGACCCUGCCAUAUAGUGAUCUACACAGUACCAGCUAAGACCCUGCCAUAUAGUGAUCUACACAGUACCAGCUAAGACCCUGCCUGCCGUAAAGUGUCUACAGUAUACAGUGUCAACUCAGGAGCUAUAACACUGAAUAUGUCCAGCUAACUGAAGAAACCGUCCGGCAAGAAUUGGAGCAGAGGACUGAUCAUAGAAUGUAUGGGACUCAUACAAUGCAUGGCCCUGCAGGUGGUAUAGAGACCAUUACAAUGAAUGGCCCUGCAGGUGGUAUAGAGACCAUUACAAUGAAUGGCCCUGCAGGUGGUAUAGAGACCAUUACAAUGAAUGGCCCUGCAGGUGGUAUAGAGACCAUUACAAUGAAUGGCCCUGCAGGUGGUAUAGAGACCAUUACAAUGAAUGGCCCUGCAGGUGGUAUAGAGACCAUUACAAUGAAUGGCCCUGCCGGUGGUCUAGAGGAUAUUACCAUGAAUGGCCCUGCAGGUGGUAUAGAGGCCAUUACAAUGAAUGGCCCUGCAGGUGGUAUAGAGACCAUUACAAUGAAUGGCCCUGCAGGUGGUAUAGAGACCAUUACAAUGAAUGGCCCUGCCGGUGGUCUAGAGGAUAUUACCAUGAAUGGCCCUGCCGGUGGUAUAGAGGCCAUUACAAUGAAUGGCCCUGCCGGUGGUAUAGAGACCAUUACAAUGAAUGGCCCUGCUGGUGGUAUAGAGACCAUUACAAUGAAUGGCCCUGCAGGUGGUAUAGAGGCCAUUAUAAUAAACGGAUCUCAACACAGACUCUCCCCCAGUCUCCCCCUGUUUUGACCCAUUGUGUUGUAUCUUGUGGAAGAGAAAAGCAACAGGUCUUGUGGAAGAGAAAAGCAAUGGAAUACCUAUUGAUAGGUCAAUUCCAUUGUAAUUCCCAUCAAUUCAGAAAGCAAAACACAUUCCACAUUGUUCUCAUUAAAAAUCAUGUAAGAGAAUUGGACUUGGACUUUCAGUGUACUUUCUGAAUUGAAAUGACCCCAACCCUGGGAGUUUGUCAAUUCAGAGCGUUUUACUUUCGGGGCGUUCAGAGCGACCACUGGACGCUCUGGGCGAUCUGAGCGUUCUGACCCUAACAACAGCAGUCAAACACCCACGCUAACUGGCUAACGUUAGCUAGCUACUUCCAGACACAAAUGAGACAACGCCUCACUCUGACCAUUUUACUCACCCGAGCAAAGCUGGUUAGUCUGUUUUCAUCUUAUCUAGAGCGUCGGUGACUGUAACCGUGCUGCUGACAACAAUUUCAUGACGUGUUUUUUUUUGCCCGACACCGGCCAUAUUCAACCGGUAUUGAGCGUUUGUAAAUUCAUCAGUUAUUCUGCGCGCUGGCACACUCAGACACGAGUACUUUGAAAUCAGAGUAGAUGUUGGUUUAACCCAAAGCUACCGGAGGAUACCUGUGGCUAGCUGAGGGUUACUAUGGCUACCUGAUAGUUACUAUGGCUACCUGAUAGUUACUAUGGCUACCUGAGGGUCACACCACACUCAAACGUACGUGUGGCUCAAAGCACAGUGUUCCUAUUAUAUAAAAUUGUUUAAACGUGUGUAUUCUUUUUGUUGUUUUAUGUAUAAGACCUUUGCACUAAUAUUAACGUGUUCUUGUAUUUUUAGGCUUAUUAUCUUUUUUUGUUGUUUGAAUGACAUUUCAUGUAUUCUUGGGGCUCUGUUCAAUCCGCAUUGUGGAAGUUCAGCUUUACAGCGUGAUUUAAUGAAUUUGUUCUUAACUUACUUGCCUAGUUUAAAUAAAGGUUAAAUAAAAAUAAAAAAAAGAUAUACAAAUAAAUAAAUGUAAGACAAUGUUCCCGCUUUAGCGAAGACUUAACCCACGGUAAACGAUGCAUGUGUCGGCUCGAUUUGAAAUAACCUUUACAUUUGUAUCACUGUAUCUGUAACACUUUUCAGCUUCCCAGAUUGAAUAGAGCCCCUUUGUAGGUCUUUUACAAGGCCUGUUGAACCUGUGAUGAAACCUGGAGGUCUGUGACAGUUUGUUUUUCGUACCAACCUUCUCAAGGCAACAGUCCACAAAGCACCACGUCAGAUGGACAUAUCAUAGUAGGAUGAAUCUUUCCAGCAUUUAUCGGUACAUGUUGUUCAGCGCCAGUAAUGACAUGUUGUACAUGAUCCUACUCUAUCUUUGGUACUUUACAUUCUAACUCAAUGCACCGGUAGACAGCUGGUACGGUAGUGUACCGGUAGACAGCUGGUACAGUAGUGCACAGAUAGACAGCUAGUACGGUAGUGCACAGGUAGACAGCUAGUAUGGUAGUGCACAGGUAGACAGCUGGUACGGUAGUGUACAGGUUGACAGCUGGUACAGUAGUGCACAGGUAGACAGCUGGUACGGUAGUGCACAGGUAGACAGCUGGUACGGUAGUGUACAGGUAGACAGCUGGUACAGUAGUGCACAGAUAGACAGCUAGUACGGUAGUGCACAGGUAGACAGCUAGUAUGGUAGUGCACAGGUAGACAGCUGGUACGGUAGUGUACAGGUAGACAGCUGGUACAGUAGUGCACAGGUAGACAGCUGGUACAGUAGUGCACAGGUAGACAGCUGGUACGGUAGUGCACCGGUAGACAGCUGGUACGGUAGUGCACAGGUAGACAGCUGGUACAGUAGUGCACAGGUAGACAGCUGGUACGGUAGUGCACCGGUAGACAGCUGGUACAGUAGUGCACAGGUAGACAGCUGGUACGGUAGUGCACAGGUAGACAGCUGGUACGGUAGUGCACCGGUAGACAGCUGGUACGGUAGUGCACAGGUAGACAGCUAGUACGGUAGUGCACAGGUAGACAGCUGGUACGGUAGUGCACAGAUAGACAGCUAGUACGGUAGUGCACAGGUAGACAGCUAGUACGGUAGUGCACAGGUAGACAGCUGGUACGGUAGUGCACCGGUAGACAGCUAGUACGGUAGUGCACAGGUAGACAGCUGGUACGGUAGUGCACAGGUAGACAGCUGGUACGGUAGUGUACAGGUAGACAGCUGGUACGGUAGUGCACAGGUAGACAGCUGGUACGGUAGUGUACAGGUAGACAGCUGGUACGGUAGUGCACAGGUAGACAGCUGGUAUGGUAGUGCACAGGUAGACAGCUGGUACAGUAGUGCACAGGUAGACAGCUGGUACGGUAGUGUACAGGUAGACAGCUAGUACGGUAGUGCACAGGUAGACAGCUGGUACGGUAGUGCACAGGUAGACAGCUGGUACAGUAGUGCACAGGUAGACAGCUGGUACAGUAGUGCACAGGUAGACAGCUGGUACAGGUAGACAGCUGGUACGGUAGUGCACAGGUAGACAGCUGGUACGGUAGUGUACAGGUAGACAGCUGGCACAGGUAGACAGCUAGUACGGUAGUGUACAGGUAGACAGCUGGUAGAGUAGUGUACAGGUAGACAGCUGGUACAGUAGUGCACAGGUAGACAGCUGGUACAGUAGUGCACAGGUAGACAGCUGGUACAGGUAGACAGCUGGUACGGUAGUGUACAGGUAGACAGCUGGUACGGUAGUGUAUUAGAAUGAACCUACGUGAAUCAUGUAUUGAUGAGGCUUUUCCUCUCCAUAUAUUCUUUAUUCCAAUAUGUUGUUCGGUACACCAUAAUGCACAUACAUUAGGCUCAAUUAUGCUUUUGCCCCACAACAAUGUUAUGAAUGAGUUAAACUUAUUUUUCACAAUGUGAAUUUGUAAAUACUUUUUUUUUAUUAUUUUGUUUACAACUAACCAAAAUUGUAAUUGGAAAAUAUUAAGACAAAAGAAAAGUGGACUUUUGUAAGUACAGUAUAUAGCAAUUAUAUAGCGAUAUUCCUCCAAGGUACUUAUAUGGAACAUCCCCUAUCCUGACUUACAAAGUCUUAACAUAUCAUACAGUCAUUAGAGACAGUAUUCUGUGAUCUGAUUGGUUUAUAAAUGAUGCUCAUUGGUUUCCAUGUAAUUGACGAGGAGAUGAAGAAUGUGUUACGAUGAUAGUCACAUAUUAUUGUCACUUCUAUGGUUUUUAAAAACAGAUUUUGAUACUUAUUUUGUAUGAAAUAAAUGUGUACAGUGCAUUCCUUA
RNA transcript from Salvelinus fontinalis (brook trout), 9416 nucleotides. It is a transcript of the gene named tyrosine-protein kinase receptor UFO, with no coding region annotated. The record is from RefSeq and is a predicted model, not a curated record. The transcript has 20 exons. NCBI's taxonomy places the organism in Eukaryota, Metazoa, Chordata, Actinopteri, Salmoniformes, Salmonidae.